This 235-nucleotide long non-coding RNA is filed under the name Elaeis guineensis (African oil palm). RNAcentral describes it as "long non-coding RNA (EGUI_LNC004038)". The record is from RNAcentral. Lineage: Eukaryota; Viridiplantae; Streptophyta; Magnoliopsida; Arecales; Arecaceae.
AGGAGUGUCUGGGACUCGUAGAAAUAGUAAGAGCAUUAUUUGUUUAUUAAAAUUUCUAUAAUAAACAUUUACAAGUAUAAAUAUCUAAUUGAAAAUUAUUUUCUCUCUAUAGUUAAUUAACCAUGUUGAGUUUAAACUUCUAGCCUAAAUCCUUGACACAAAUAGGUUGACUAGAUUAAACUACAAAGAUUGAUUUCAAAAUUUAAGAAUUGUUCUCAGCUUCGAAAAAUUGACC